Long non-coding RNA from Fukomys damarensis (Damara mole-rat), 798 nucleotides. The record is from Ensembl. NCBI's taxonomy places the organism in Eukaryota, Metazoa, Chordata, Mammalia, Rodentia, Bathyergidae.
GUCAAGGAUUUGUCCAUCUUGAUGGGUUUUGCUGAAAUGGGUGUUCUUUAUAGUUCCAGUCACAGCCCAUGCUCCUUCUGUUUGCUGAAGCGAAAUUUCCUUUGUGCCGAAGUGAUUCUGGAAUAAUGUUUUCAUGGAGAAAAACCAAGUGAGAGAUAAACACAGCUGUCUUCCCCUGAAAAGGUUAUGCACAAUUAUUCCCAAGGACUCUGGGAAGAUUUCUCAUUUCCACGUUUCCUACUUUGAGAUGGGUGAGGAAACCAGACAGAAGCCAUGCAGCACUGGUGUUUGCCAGACAGCUCUCUUCUGUCCCUCUCCUGGCUGCAACUGCACCCCAAGGACGCUGUCUGUGACCUACGACCCUGGAGAGAGUCAUCUGUUCUCUCUCCCUUGGAGAACAAGUCAAAGUUCAGGAAGGAAAAGAGCCAAAACUCCAGAGGUUUAAAGAGCAGUUCUUCCAAACUUAGGAUUCUGGAGAAACUCAGAAGUCUUCACCUAUAAAACUUUGUACUGGGCAAAGAGCAUUCUUUCACUGAGACUAGCCAAACCUUUUCAACUGUAACUUAUACUUGGACCUUGAAGUAAUUGCAUUUAAGUUUGAAAAUGGUUAAUUUUCUAUCGGACUGUGGAGGAACCAGCGAUUGAGUUGGUCCAUCAGGACAACGAGCCAAACUGAAAGGGACAACCAAGGUUUCAUUCACUUCCUGGGACAGAGAGAUCGACAGGUAGACAAUGGCAAGUCUCUCCAUAGUCAUCUCCCCGUGAGGGUUCGGGGCUUCAGCUCAGGCUGAGGUGGGG